UACGUAGGGGGCAAGCGUUGUCCGGAUUUACUGGGCGUAAAGGGUGCGUAGGUGGCGCCGUAAGUCAGGUGUGAAAUCCCGGGGCUCAACCCCGGAACUGCACUUGAUACUGCGGUGCUCGAGUACUGGAGAGGAGAUUGGAAUUUACGGUGUAGCAGUGAAAUGCGUAGAUAUCGUAAGGAAGACCAGUGGCGAAGGCGAAUCUCUGGACAGUUACUGACACUGAGGCACGAAGGCCAGGGGAGCAAACGGG
RNAcentral lists this ribosomal RNA (253 nucleotides) under uncultured bacterium. RNAcentral's name for it is "partial 16S ribosomal RNA". It matches the Rfam family "Bacterial small subunit ribosomal RNA", at positions 524 to 776 of the family's 1533-position model. The record is from RNAcentral.